Molecule: ribosomal RNA, 300 nt
Filed under: uncultured Prosthecobacter sp.
Lineage: Bacteria; Pseudomonadati; Verrucomicrobiota; Verrucomicrobiia; Verrucomicrobiales; Verrucomicrobiaceae
Description: bacterial SSU rRNA
Rfam family: Bacterial small subunit ribosomal RNA
Source: RNAcentral
GCUAAUGCAGUACGAGCGGACACGGGAAUAGCGUGGGUGCGAUCGUUAAGCGGAGUGACUUGGAGUAAAGGGCGCGUAGGCGGUUAUAUAAGAUGGAUGUUAAAUCCCUGGGCGUAACCUAGGAACUGCAUCGAUGACUGGGUGACUGGAGUACUGUAGAGGGUAGUGGAAUUUCCGGUGUAGCGGUGAAAUGCGUAGAGAUCGGAAGGAACACCAGUGGCGAAGGCGGCUACCUGGACAGAUACUGACGCUGAGGCGCGAGAGCGUGGGGAGCAAACAGGAUUAGAUACCCCGGUAGUC